Cherax quadricarinatus is the source of this 450-nucleotide non-coding RNA. Lineage: Eukaryota; Metazoa; Arthropoda; Malacostraca; Decapoda; Parastacidae. The record is from RefSeq and is a predicted model, not a curated record.
GAGACACUGAAAAAGAGCUUUGACUCUGAAGGUAGAAGAAGUUGUUGAGGUAAGCAAGGAGCUUGCCAGGGUGAAGGAAGAGCUUCAUGUAGUACAAGGGGAUCUGCAAGUUUCCAGGGAAAAUCUUUCCAACAAGUUGAAAGAGGCAACAAACUUAAUGAUGGAAAAGGCUUCAAUGGAAGUAGAAAUGGCAAGUCUUAAAGACAAGAUUUCAUCUGUCACAGAAAUGGAAAAAUGUCUUAUUACUAAAGAAGCAGAAAUUGAAGAGCUGAGCAAUCUUGUGAAGGAGUCACGCACUGACUUAGCGACACUACGAGCAAAGUUCUCUCUUAAUCAGAAAAUUAGUAGGAAGAAAGAAGAGGAACUGAGGGAAUAUAUGAAGCAUAUUGAUGAUAUGAAAGAGGAGGCAAACCAAUUAAAGCAACAGGUUUGUAUUAAUUGUUAUUAUAU